CACCGUACAAAUGAUCAAAAUAGUAGCAAAGAUCAUUUAUCUAAAAAAUCAUCUUAUAAUUGGAUGCUGUUUAGCCUUUUAAUCAUUCAUUUUUCAUUUAACAAUCCAAAUCAUCCCGUACAAAAUCGACCAUAAUAAUAAUAUUUGAUUAAAAUAAAUUUUUUAUAGUGUACUAUAAAUACCACUUAGAUUAUCAUUGUUAGUUUUCAAAUCUAUCGAUGG
This 222-nucleotide long non-coding RNA is filed under the name Elaeis guineensis (African oil palm). RNAcentral describes it as "long non-coding RNA (EGUI_LNC045825)". Lineage: Eukaryota; Viridiplantae; Streptophyta; Magnoliopsida; Arecales; Arecaceae. The record is from RNAcentral.